UACGUAGGGUGCAAGCGUUGUCCGGAAUUAUUGGGCGUAAAGAGCUCGUAGGCGGUCUGUCACGUCGGACGUGAAAAUCCAGGGCUCAACCCUGGACCUGCGUUCGAUACGGGCAGACUAGAGUUCGGUAGGGGAGACUGGAAUUCCUGGUGUAGCGGUGAAAUGCGUAGAUAUCUGGAGGAACACCGGUGGCGAAGGCGGCAUCCUGGACCGAUACUGACGCUGAGGAGCGAAAGCCAGGGGAGCAAACGGG
This 253-nucleotide ribosomal RNA is filed under the name uncultured bacterium. RNAcentral describes it as "partial 16S ribosomal RNA". It matches the Rfam family "Bacterial small subunit ribosomal RNA", at positions 524 to 776 of the family's 1533-position model. The record is from RNAcentral.